RNAcentral lists this unclassified non-coding RNA (1300 nucleotides) under Bombus terrestris (buff-tailed bumblebee). RNAcentral's name for it is "misc RNA ENSBTSG00005034354.1". The record is from RNAcentral. Lineage: Eukaryota; Metazoa; Arthropoda; Insecta; Hymenoptera; Apidae.
CAUUCUUCGUGUACUGCACGAAACAAGCGAUAAACCAGUGUCGAUUUCAAGAACAAAACGAGCAAUAAAUACGAGAGACGACUACGGGAACGGGUUUCUUAAAUUCGUUUUGAACGUUACAGACCUCUUGAAAUGAUCAGAGCAGAUCGAUCUAGGAUAGACGAACGUUAUCUCAGGCGUGGAUCAUCCAAGUGAUCGAGACUGCGUGCAGAUGCGUAUCUCUCAGCGACCGUCAGAGCGAGGGAAGAGGAUGCGCCAUCAAGUGACGUCAGCGGAAUGCAGAAACUGGCCAAGCAAAUUAGGUUUUCGAAUUUCGAGUUCUACCGUAAUAACAAGAGAAGGGAGAAACCAUUUGAAAUCGUGCAAUUCGGGUCAUGGAUGAUUCAGUGGACGAGUCUCUUUAUCAAGAAACAAUGGGCUAUUGGCUGCAAUUACGAGACGACGCGAUGCCACGAUUAUCCACAUGGAAAUAUUUUCACCGAACGAGAUUUAAACCGCGAUAAUAACGUUUGAUGCUGCGUUAUUCCAUUACGCAGAUUGAUGUGCGUGCCUCGUUGCUUUUUCAGCCACUCAUUUUAUUUUGGCUACUGUUUUUCGCUCUCGUAAAUCACGUUUACGGAGAUCCUUCGGACUUUUGAUAGUUAACGUUUAAACAUCAUUUUCACGAAAAUGCGAGUCAAGUUGUUGUUUUUAUCAUUCUGUCGAUACAGAUAAUCUACUUACUGUUGUUUGAAUACAAAUUUUUACGCGUGUAUUUUUCAUAUUUAUAAAUCAUAUAGAGGAAAUGUUUAGAUAGUAAAGAUUUAAGCAUCAUUUUCACGAAUAGGCGAGUUAAGUUGAUAUUAUCAGAGCUUAUUGUCUUUAGUUGUGUAUUGACAAGUGUUUUUAAUUUCUAUGAAUCACAUGGAAAAGGAAAGUGAAUCAGACUGCUCUUGUCGCUCCUUAUAAGACAGACACUCGAGUUCCUCUUAAUCACAAAACAAAUUUGCAAAUUUAAAGAACGGAAUGAUUUCCCUAUUUGCAGAAUUAUCAUUCUCUAUCGUGUUCGCUAAAUUCUUUAAAACGUUGGAGCAAGUUGAAAGGGACGAGAUACUGGAAUGUGGGUGAAACGAUAGUGUUACUUCCCUAUCGAAAAGAGAAAACAAUAAUUACGUCACAUUGUAUUAUCGUUUUACGUUGUAAUAGCGUGAAUGAAUUUGACGCCACCCGGUUGCUCGUGAUCAGCUUCUUCCACGAAAUCAAACGUGUACAGUAACCUCUCGUUCCAUUCGAGAUUACGGACAAAUUUGCACUCUACAUU